RNAcentral lists this ribosomal RNA (485 nucleotides) under uncultured Glomus. RNAcentral's name for it is "SSU rRNA". It matches the Rfam family "Eukaryotic small subunit ribosomal RNA", at positions 569 to 1060 of the family's 1831-position model. The record is from RNAcentral. Lineage: Eukaryota; Fungi; Glomeromycota; Glomeromycetes; Glomerales; Glomeraceae.
AGCAGCCGCGGUAAUUCCAGCUCCAAUAGCGUAUAUUAAAGUUGCUGCAGUUAAAAAGCUCGUAGUUGAAUUUCGGGACCAUCAUGUCGGUCGUGCCUCGGUACGUACUGGCAUUGUUGGCUUCUCCCUUCUGACGAACCAUGAUGUCAUUUACUUGGUGUCGUGGGAAAUCAGGACUGUUACUUUGAAAAAUUAGAGUGUUUAAAGCAGGCUCACGCUUGAAUACAUUAGCAUGGAAUAAUGAAAUAGGACGUUUGAUUCUAUUUUGUUGGUUUCUAGGAUCGACGUAAUGAUUAAUAGGGAUAGUUGGGGGCAUUAGUAUUCAAUUGUCAGAGGUGAAAUUCUUGGAUUUAUUGAAGACUAACUACUGCGAAAGCAUUUGCCAAGGAUGUUUUCAUUAAUCAAGAACGAAAGUUAGGGGAUCGAAGACGAUCAGAUACCGUCGUAGUCUUAACCAUAAACUAUGCCGACUAGGGAUCGGAUAA